CAUGGGUGUCUUUUUUUUUUCUCAAAGGUUUGCUGACAUUCAGCACAGGAUACAGACAGUGAACAACAUUAAUGAACACUUGGAACCAAUAUGGAGGUGAGCCAAGACCACACACUUGAUGUGUGAAGUGCAUUUGCAUGCAAGGGUCACAUGGGAAACAACAAGAGGGUAUGGUUCAGGUAAGAACUCUUUACACCAGUCCAUCAUACAGUGACAGUGCCUGUACAAUUGAUGGAUCAGACUUGGAGCCCUCACGGAAUUCCUCCAUUGACAACUUGCCAUCAGCAUUCUGUGGAAUAGAACAUAGCAUUUCGACAAAGCAGCACUGAAGAAGAAGUUCAAGAGAGAAGAAUUCAAGUCCAUUAUAAAGUAUUUGACAGAAAUAAGAAUAACUAAUUUAUUAAUUUAAAAACCAGAAUUAACAAACAGUACAUUCUAAGAUACAUAACUUGUUCUAAGUCAAGGUUAAACAGAGAAUGAAAAGACUCACACAGUCAGUAAUCCUCUCACUCCAAAGAUCUCAUUGGUAAUCCUCCUUACUUUCUACCAUAAAUUUCUUAUGAUGUUGCUUUAAAGAAUUUGGUAUUGGAUCAACUAAUAAUCCCCUAAUUGAUAUUUUUCCAUAUUCACAUCAAUUGUCUUCUGAAUAUUGUAUUAACAUUGUUAGGAGAAAUUCUGUUUUGGUCACUCAUGGGAGUUCAAGGGUUAAUCAUUGGAUUAAUUUAUAUUUUAUCUCAAAAUCUGUAGGCUGUGUAUACACUUAACUCUUCAUGGAGAAGGAAAUAAAUAAAUUAGAGCAGGCAUGAUUAAAUUUCAAAUCCUGAGAAUUUGAGUUUAUCUAUACAAUUAACAUGUUUACUACAAAAACACAUACUUAGACAAAUUUAUGAAAUA
Molecule: unclassified non-coding RNA, 894 nt
Organism: Pocillopora damicornis (cauliflower coral)
Lineage: Eukaryota; Metazoa; Cnidaria; Anthozoa; Scleractinia; Pocilloporidae
Source: RefSeq, a predicted model, not a curated record